GNNAUGCCGCGUGCAGGAAGACUGCCCUAUGGGUUGUAAACUGCUUUUAUACGGGAAGAAACCUAGUCACGUGUGACUAGCUGACGGUACCGUAAGAAUAAGGAUCGGCUAACUCCGUGCCAGCAGCCGCGGUAAUACGGAGGAUCCAAGCGUUAUCCGGAAUCAUUGGGUUUAAAGGGUCCGUAGGUGGAUAAUUAAGUCAGGGGUGAAAGUCUGCAGCUCAACUGUAGAAUUGCCCUUGAUACUGGUUAUCUUGAAUUAUUGUGAAGUGGUUAGAAUAUGUAGUGUAGCGGUGAAAUGCAUAGAUAUUACAUAGAAUACCAAUUGCGAAGGCAGAUCACUAACAAUAUAUUGACACUGAUGGACGAAAGCGUGGGGAGCGAACAGGAUUAGAUACCCUGGUAGUCCAUCAGUGUCAAUAUAUUGUUAGUGAUCUGCCUUCGCAAUUGGUAUUCUAUGUAAUAUCUAUGCAUUUCACCGCUACACUACAUAUUCUAACCACUUCACAAUAAUUCNNNAUAACCAGUAUCAAGGGCAAUUCUACAGUUGAGCUGCAGACUUUCACC
Molecule: ribosomal RNA, 566 nt
Filed under: Winogradskyella sp. Asnod2E04
Lineage: Bacteria; Pseudomonadati; Bacteroidota; Flavobacteriia; Flavobacteriales; Flavobacteriaceae
Description: bacterial SSU rRNA
Rfam family: Bacterial small subunit ribosomal RNA (bases 1-479)
Source: RNAcentral